AUCUCAUAAUUGUUACAUUGAUUGAGUGUUGGUUUUGGUGGAUGAUUAGGGUUGCAGAAAGUAGGGAAAGGGAAAUUUCCAAGAACUACGUGAAAAUUAAAUAGUGAAGAUUUUAAUUGUUGAUUAUUUUGUCUCGCCGUUUCUUAUAAUUUCUUUGGUAAUUUAUUAUAGUUUUGCAUGUAUUAGCUUCACUUGUAGCACGUCUUAAACUUUUGAAACAAACGUGCUUUAGAGGCAUAACAUGGAGGGUGAUAAUUUUGAUCCCUUGACUAUGAUAGGGAAGGGUGCAUUUGAUGAAGCUACUAGUGGUUGCUUAUAAUAUAAUUUAUUUUUUAAAUUAUAAUAUGAAAGCUUCUCUCAGAAACUACUAAUAUUUUGCAAUGUUAGUCUGCCUUUUGGGAUUUCAUGUAAUUAUUUCAGUAUUUCACGCUUUAUUUUUAAAAAUUAUCAUGGAGGGUUGAUGCUUAAAAAGGGAUUGGUGAUAAAUUUGUGAUUAAACAGAGCCAGAAAUAUUCCUUUGAAUAUGAUCCUGAAUCUUAGAGGCAGCAAACAACCAUAAGUGGCUUCCAUUUUCACUUUUCCCUCAAAUAUUAUAAAUGGAAUGGGCAUAAAUAGGUUCGAGAUUCCUGAAAUAUAUCCGAAUUUUGUAAUUGAUCUCUGAAAAAAAAUAUUUUCGUUGGAUCUCUAAAACUUCAAAAGUUUUGUAUGAGAUCCCAUUAGUCUUCGUCUAAAACAUGAUGACAAUACACGUAUAAAGCCACGUCAGUAUUUAUUCUUUUUUUUUCCUUUUUUCCCCUCCCUUUCCAAACUUGCCCCUGGUUUGUUUUUUCUCUCUUUGUCCCUUCUUCCUCCCCUUUCAGAUCUGAGAUGCCCUUCAUCUCUCCAUCUGAGUUGCUCCCCCAUUACACCAAUGGUCCAACAAGGAAAUACUCCGACAUUAAAUCGCAAUGCGGUCAUGGAAGUAUAGUUGCUAUGGAGCACGUCUCAGAAGUUCAACCACACAGACGAUGAUGCAGAGGAACAGUGAUUCUGACGUCGGCAUUCUCAUCGGAUUUGUAGGUGGUCGUCGAUGGCGACAUUGGAAUCUAGAAGGAUCUUCUCCGUCAUUGGCACCAGUUGGAAAAUGAUUGCUCCACGUGACCAUUGCCUCGUCGUCUCAGACGAGCAACGAAGUGUGGCGAUAGUGCUCUCCAGAUCCAAAUCGUGUUGCAGCAUCUCAAAGCACUAUCACUUCUUGAGAACGUGUCUCAUGGCCCAGCCAUUGAUGGCCAUGGAGAAGCAAUGGAUCUAUCAGUGGCAAAGAGGCAUUUGUAAUGCAGAGACAAAGUGGGGAUGACGAAGGUGCAGUGGUACGCCAUGUAAUUAAUAUCUCUGAUGUGGUUCCGCACGUAUAUCGCUGACAUGUUCAACAAACAGACACAUCAUCACAGGAGACUAAUGGCAAGGAUCUCCCACAAAACUAUUGAAUUUUCAAGGAUCAGUUGCAAAAUUUGGUUAUUUUUAAGGAAUCUCCAACAUAUUUAAGCCAACGGAAUGAGUUUAAUUUAUGUUUAAGCUCAUGCCAAUUGGAUUGGAGCAAAAGAAGUCAUUUGAUUUUCUUGUAUUAAGAUUGCAAAAAUUGAAAAAAGUGUUUGUUCUGAGAUGCAAUAUACAUUUGCUUGUUGGUCAUAUCAUUGGGCAAAUCCUGCAAUUCCUAGAAUAUUUCCAAAUAUUGUUUCUACUGCAUACAAGUCAGACAUUGUUUGUUUCUUUUUUCCCAGAUCUGGUUAUGCAGUGCGAUGUUUUUAUUAAUUUCAUCACUACAUUCUUGUUUC
This is a long non-coding RNA of Glycine soja, 1814 nucleotides long. RefSeq lists it as uncharacterized. NCBI's taxonomy places the organism in Eukaryota, Viridiplantae, Streptophyta, Magnoliopsida, Fabales, Fabaceae. The transcript has 2 exons. The record is from RefSeq and is a predicted model, not a curated record.